UUGGUAAGGCCCGGGCCAGAGCUGCGGAUACGGGACCUGCCAGGGUCCUGGCGGGCCGGCAGCAGCACGGGCCCGAAGCACACUGCCAGGAUGAUGCUCCAACUAACUGAGCCACAACCACACCGGCCAGUGCUAGAGCCUGUGUUUUUGAUAUAAUCUGGCUGUGCAACUUGGCAUCUACCUUCUGAUGCCACAAACUCAUGGCUAUCACCAGCCCAGACAUGGGUGAACUGUUCUAUUCAGCCCACUCCCUGUCCCACUCUUACCCGGGGCCCAACUCACCCUCUCCACAUCCGGCAGGCAACUGAGGAGCCCACGGGUACCCUCAGUGCUGGGGGGAUCCCUGCUCGGGGGCCCUCGGGCCAUGGCCUCCAGCACCACUUGAUAGAGGGGCUGAGUGAUGAGUGGGGUGGGCAACUCCCGAAGAUAAUCCUUGAGGAUGCCUGUGGACACAGGGCCCAUUCUGGUCAGGGCAACCCUGACUUCUGAGGCUGGAGGGGUUGGCUGGGGAUGGGGAUGGGGAAAGAGGAGGACAGGUGCAGGAAGGUGAAAACAAGACCCGACAGAAGAGGUGAGGUCCCAGAGGGGCAACAGGGACUGCCAUGAAGUGAGGGUUGAAUGAAGAGCAGGCAGGGAUGGGGUGCUGGUGGGGAAGAGGCGUGCUGACCAGUGAUGACAUUGAUAUCGGGGUACAGGUCCUCGGAGAGGCAGACAGCUGCACUGUCCCGCUCAAAGGCGUCCCGAAGCUCUUUCUUCACAGCUGCCGAGCCGCACAGACGGUAGAGCCCCACUACCUAGGUGUGGGAGCAGAGGGGAAUGGCUUCUCACUGGGGCCACAGACUGAUCAGGGCCCAGUGGGGAGGGGACUGGAGUUCUGGCUCAGGGUGGCAGUUGGCUACGAGUUCGGGGGCUAGCUGUAGCCUCAAUGGCUGCCUUCCUGCUCCUCUGACACUUGUCAUAGGGUCCCCACCUGGCUGUCUGGACAACCUGGACCUGUAAACCCUCUGCUUGGAUCACUUGUCUUGAUACCCACAUCCUUUGAUUUAGGAACUUCUGACUCCUCCUCAGCUCACUUGUUACCUCCUUUAGGAUGCCUUCCCUGACUACCCCAACCAGCAGGUGAAGUCCUACUUUAAGUUCUCCCAGCUUCUUCACUCUUGUCCCAGCCAUAAUCUUACAUUUGUGAGUUAU
Phyllostomus discolor (pale spear-nosed bat) is the source of this 1191-nucleotide long non-coding RNA. RefSeq lists it as uncharacterized. The transcript is spliced from 3 exons. Lineage: Eukaryota; Metazoa; Chordata; Mammalia; Chiroptera; Phyllostomidae. The record is from RefSeq and is a predicted model, not a curated record.